GGUGGAAGCGUGGAGUCUUAACCACUGGACCGCCAGGGAAGUCCCACAAACUCACCUUUAAAAGAAGGGAGCCUCAAUAAUGUCUUGUAUUUAAAUUCCAUUUCCCAAUGCUUACGGUUGACAUUCAUCUAAUUAGUGAUCUGAUUCAACCCAAAACGUUUUUAUGGGAUGCCUAUUGUGUGCCCAACAGAAAUACACUUUGAAAUUAAAAAUCUUUUUUUCUUGAUUGAAUUAUAGUUGACUUAAAAUAUUAUAUUUGAAACUAAAAAUCUUUUAUAUUGGAUAAACAUAAAGAGAAUUUAUAUCCCAGUGUUGCAAAUAUUGACCUUGCUGUUUCAGUAAAAAUCAAUUUAAAAGGAUUUUUUUCCCCAUUCCUUCCAAAACAACCUAGAAGAUAAUGGCAUUUCUCCCUUAAACAUUAUACAAGAAAAUCUCCUUUACAUUAAUAAAGUAAGAGACAGAAGUUUUUAAUUUACAUUUUUCCUUUUAGCAAAGAUUUUUUUCUAUUUUUAUUAAUUUUUAAUGAAAAAUAAUAAAUACACUUCUUACAAACAAUUGAAACAUUAGAAAAGGAUAUCCAGUGGGAAGUAGGUCCACAUCUCUCAGAAGUGUUCCAGGCACAUACAAACAUGUGUUUUAUAUCAAUUUAUAGCUCCAUCUUUGCACAUCAUCUUAUUCUCUGCUUUUUUUCACAGGUGCCAUGUAUUCUUCCGUACCCUGAUGUUUUUCACUUAAGUAAUUCUGGAGGUUUCCCCAGAACAGUACAUGUAGAUCAAGCUCAUUUUCAAUGCUGCAUGGUAUUCCAGGAUGGAGAUCUGGGGAGACAGAGUGGUAAGAAGAAUGGAAAAGAUCUUUCCUGAUUGAUAUUAUUGUGGUCAGUCUUCUCCAGACUCGGCAGAUAUUUUAAGGUAACUCUCUUAUGUGGGGAUCCUUCAGAAACCCACCGAUGAAAGGAGACACCUUCAUUAAAACAGACUUCCAGAUUUCCAUCAGUGACAGGCUUCUGGAGGGGCAGAGCCAAGUGGCAGCCCUUAACAGCCAGCAGCAAGGUGGGUGCAGUUACUAUAAUGGGCAGAGUGUCUGCAGCAGCAAAGCAGAGUAUUUCAGCACACGAGAAUCUUUGAUGUUUGUUCAUUGUCCAUGGUGGCCCUAGGACCAAAACAGAUCGGAAUUCUACUAGGAAUCACUUGAUUUAUGUAACUGGGAAAUCUCUAGAUCCAGUGACUAGAAACCUGAGCUCAAUGUAGAGUCAUAGCUCAUCACCCAAGUCUCAGAUCUGAAUCAGCUGAAAGACAUAGAAAUGUCUGAUUUUGCAGCUGGGUCCAAGGAGCAGCGACAGCACCUGGGAAUUUGUUAGAAAUGUAAAUUUCCAGACCCUCCCCCAGCCCUACGGACGCAAACACUCUGGAGGAGGGUCCAGCAGUCUUUGUUUUAGCAGGCACUUCAGCUGAGUCCUGUGCAUGCUAAGGUCUGAGAACUCUGACCUUAAGAGAAGGAGAGGCUGGGAAGCCUUAGAAGGGACCCUGUAACAUUGCUAAGGAAGAUGGUUAUUGGAGAAUGACUGUGGAUUCUUAUGGAAUCAUUCAGGUACCGGACCAGAUGUAGCCUCUUUACUGGAUAACACAACACUGCUUCUGGUGCUUUGAAGGCAACCAUUGAUCUGGCGGUUGCUUUUUUUCCUCAACACCAAAUUAGCAAAGAUCCCCAGGUGGAGUUUGCUCCCAAUUAGCAGGAUCAGCAAAACACCCUCCCUGUCUUACCUCAGACCUCUGUGACUCUUCCGCUGUCUGACAACAUCCAGUCUGCAGGGGCCUUGAUCAUCUUGAUAUUCCCCAGAACACCAUGCUAAUAUAUUACAUUAUUGACACGACAUCGCCAGAUAUCCCAGGGGGAGCAAAACUGCUGUCACUUGAGAAUCCCUGGCCUACAGCAUGUCUAGCAAUACACUGAUCUACCAAGCCAUACGGUUGGCGUACACAGCAGCAAUUGUCGUCCAGUGUAGGCAGUGUACACCAGACUGGAGUUGAGCAGGUCCUGAAUGUGCAGAUGGUGGGGGAAGAAACUGUUUGGACCAGGUUCACAGAUGGUCCCUUACAAUUUGAAGGCAUCAGAUAGAUGUGGACUGUAGAAGCAUUAUAGCCCAAAGCAGGAAUGCGGAGGAACAUGGAAAUUCCAUCUGCAAAUCCUCAACGGCCCAUUGGAGAUCUCUUAAUGCAUGUGCUUUUCUUUUCAUGGGAAUUCCACAUGCAAGUUGUGAAGCAGAGGAAGGUGCUAUUAGAAGUACCAGGUCUGACAUCAACACGAAUUGGUUUUACCUCUUGCUGGAAAGUAGCUGAUCCAUCAAUAAGGAUCCCAUCCUCUUUCAAAAAUGAAUCGUUUAAUCAUGUCAAAAGAUCUCAAAGGCUGAUCAUAGGGCAAAAUGUGGCCUCCACCUCGAACAAUUACCUUAAAGAAGAAAAACAGAAGAAAAACUGAAAUCUAGAGAAUCAGAUAUUCCAGAUAAAUGGAAAGUUUUAAUUUGGAUUUAAGUAUUCUUAAAGCUUACAUGAAAUAAAGAA
Long non-coding RNA from Aethalodelphis obliquidens (Pacific white-sided dolphin), 2558 nucleotides. RefSeq lists it as uncharacterized. The transcript has 8 exons. Lineage: Eukaryota; Metazoa; Chordata; Mammalia; Artiodactyla; Delphinidae. The record is from RefSeq and is a predicted model, not a curated record.